RNAcentral lists this ribosomal RNA (460 nucleotides) under uncultured bacterium. Its description in RNAcentral is "partial 16S ribosomal RNA". It matches the Rfam family "Bacterial small subunit ribosomal RNA", at positions 338 to 795 of the family's 1533-position model. The record is from RNAcentral.
CCUACGGGGUGCAGCAGUGAGGAAUAUUGGUCAAUGGACGAGAGUCUGAACCAGCCAAGUCGCGUGAAGGAUGACUGCCCUAUGGGUUGUAAACUUCUUUUAUAUGGGAAUAAAAUGUUCCACGUGUGGGAUUUUGUAUGUACCAUAUGAAUAAGGAUCGGCUAACUCCGUGCCAGCAGCCGCGGUAAUACGGAGGAUCCGAGCGUUAUCCGGAUUUAUUGGGUUUAAAGGGAGCGUAGGUGGAUUGUUAAGUCAGUUGUGAAAGUUUGCGGCUCAACCGUAAAAUUGCAGUUGAAACUGGCAGUCUUGAGUACAGUAGAGGUGGGCGGAAUUCGUGGUGUAGCGGUGAAAUGCUUAGAUAUCACGAAGAACUCCGAUUGCGAAGGCAGUUCACUUGACUGCAACUGACACUGAGGCUCGAAAGUGUGGGUAUCAAACAGGAUUAGAUACCCCAGUAGUC